CUAAAUCCACACAUAUACCGACACACCAUCAUGGGUGCUUUGCGCUUGGUUUUAAAACCAGCGACAGGGUUUGAUCGUGGGGUAUAUGGAGGCCUAAC
This 98-nucleotide small RNA is filed under the name marine eukaryotic metagenome. Its description in RNAcentral is "t44 RNA". It matches the Rfam family "t44 RNA", at positions 13 to 95 of the family's 95-position model. Rfam says of the family: This family consists of a number of bacterial RNA genes of between 135 and 170 bases in length. The t44 gene is found between the map and rpsB genes in all species in the full alignment apart from Shigella flexneri. The record is from RNAcentral.